CGAUCUGUCCACUCUCUCUCUGUUUUCCCAACUGCUUCAUUUUUUGUGGAGUCGCUGUAUGGCGAGGAGUGCAUCUCUCUUUCUCCUUCGUUAAACCAUUUUUCGGUGACCGGCAACCAUUGUUCCUCGAUAUUCUUCGCAACUAGAUAGAAGCAGCGCAUCGAUAUUCGUCUAUGAAGAGACCGAGGCUACACUACAGGCGACAGGUUGUGUAGUCCGAUCAUUGUCCAUCGUUCAUCGCGAUAACUACUAGAGAACGUCCUUUACAAUGACGGAAUUUCACCGGUUUGAUCUUCUAGGACUUCAUCCACGAAACUGGCAGUUUUGCGCUGCGACGGAUUGACAGCUGGCAAAGAGUGAAGGAAUGACCGGGUCAAAGUCCCACUGCGUCCAAGUUACGCUGCCAUGCCCUAUAUAUAGGGUUUGCAUUUCCCCGCCUCUCCAUCUCGCGCUCUCUCUACUUCAGUCUCUCUUUUGUCUUCCAACUGCUUCAGAAUCGGGAGUUCGCUGAAUGACAAUGAGGAAUCGACGGGCAGCCAUUGUUUCUCGAUAUUCUUUGCAAUGAGAUGAUGAAGCGGUGCGAUAUCUUUUCGAUCAUUCUUCGGAGAAGCGUCGAUAAAUUUUUUGAGACAACGAAAUGGAACUGUUUGCUGAUCGAUGAAAAGACUGAGGCUAUACUACAAGAUGAUGAUCAUUGUUCCAGUUCGAGCGCAGGCCGGGAUCCUUUACCAGAAGCGACUGGCGUAGUCCGAUCGUUGUUCCUCUUCUUCGCGAUCACCACUGGCAUUUCGGUUGUGAAAGUUACAUUUUUAUCGCUCAACACAAUGGACCAUGAUCAUCAAUCACUCAGAUCACAAUGUCAAAUUUCUUCAGGGAUCGUCAGACUUUUAGGUGUUGCGAGAAUACAGGGGAAGGCUGAUGAUUGACUUAUUGUUGUUGCUGGUGCUGAAAGAGCAAGAGUGGAAUUGAUGUGGCCAGGCAAACCAUGGCAAGGAAUUGUCGAUUUGAAGCCAAUUUUCGGCCGUAGAUUGCUAAGGUGAGAUCCACUAAUCUUUUUGUGUACAAAAUUUGUAAGCUAGAAGUUUUUACGUUUAAAAGCUAUUUAGAUUUAUUACAAAACAACUCUGUAUUGUUAUUUUUUUCAUGUAACCAUAUGAAGUAGUAUUUUGGCAAAUAGAGAUUUUCUCAGUUAUCUUCUUGAACAUUUAACUUUUUUUAUGGGAGAACUACCAUCAAUAUCAAUUUCGAUUGGGAGAAGGAAUCUAUUGGUGAAAAUUCCUGUGGUUGGCCCUAGGUCAAAAAAUUAUUGGAGCAACCUAUUUGCUGUAGUAAAUAUCUCACGAGUUAUUGGACUAGCAAAUUAAGUAAGUUAGGCAAUACUUCUUGUUUUGGAACAUGAACAUUUGAUGGUUGGCAGAUUUAUUGGACUAGCGAAUUAUGUAAAUUAGGCAAUACUUCUAAUUUUGGAACAUGAACAUUUGAUGGUUGGCAGAUUUAUUGUAAAAAUAUGAAAUGAUUCCUUGUUGCUUUGGGCAUAUUUCUUUUAUGUUAAUUAGUUCAACAACUUUUUUGUGUAAUGUGUAUUUCUUGGAAGGAUUACAUUUAGGUUGGCGUAAGAGAAAUUCUCCAGGAGUGGAGUUGGAUUGCUCAGGAUUUUAGGGAGAUGGAGAUUUGUGUGAAGCUCAAAGGCAGAUUACCAUACCUUUGGAAGGCUCGAGUUUCAUGUCUCCAUUAGAAAUCAGAAAGUUUUGAGCCUUGGAUGUACUAGAGGAUAGAGUCGAAUCAUUACCACCUUUGCCAUAAUAAUCUACCAGGUCACAUUUUGUGGCUCAAUCCACAAAUGAUGCUACAAAUAAUUUCAAAAAUUGCUUAUAACGUUUAUCUUUCACAGCUUUUAACAUAUCUUCAGCAGAGUAUUGGAUUCGGUCAGUGAGAUAAUUGGAGUCAGAUUGAUGACCAGCACUUUCGGCUGCGGGAAUAUAGGUGUCUAAUGACAUGCCAAUAUGGUACUGGGCACAAUAACAUGCACAAUUCAAAUUGUUUAACCACUUCAUUCUAGCCACGAAGAAUCAAAUCAAAGAGCUUGUAUGAUGUUAGUGAUUAUGAUGGCAUCGGUAAUGAAACCUCUUUUUUCUUUUUUCAUUUCCUCUGUUUCUGUUUACUUUUGUUCAUUGUGCAGCAAUUAUUGAAGAUAUAUUUAGGUUGGCAUAACUAUAAGGGAAGUCUUCCAACUGUGGAGUUGGGUUGCCAAAGAAAAAUAUCUUUUAACUUCCAUUUUGCUGAAAAGGUUGAUCUUUUCCGUAUGCUACUUUCUUCUUCUUUUAAGUACUUGAGUUUGUGGCUACUACUUGUCAGGGCUUUACAUACCAAGUACUCACAUCUUCGCUUAACAAAAGCAUAGACGAACCUGAUUCCAAGAUGCUGAGAUAAGUAACUUUUUCCUUGUUCUCUUGCUACCUUUUUUAAAUGACUUGGAAUGCUGUUGUGCUUUUGAGCUGAUUAUUUAUGGACCAGUAAAGUUGACGUGGAAAUGUGACCAAAACAAAAUAAUUUCUACAUUUCUUAGUCUUCGUGCCUGAUUUCUCUACCAUGUUCUUGAACACAAUGAAAUUUAGUACAUUUCUUGGUCUACGUGCCUGACUUCUCUCCCAUGUCCUUGUCUAUUUUGUUAUACUUUUACAAGGUUAAAACAUAUUCCUUUAUAUUAGGAAGCACGGACACGUAAUUUAGGGGAGUGUCGGUGUCGGACACGCUUCCGACACGUGUCCAAUAUUUUUAUUUUUUAUUUUUAUACAGACACGUGCGUCUAGGACACGCGGGCGGCACGCGAAAUUCAUUUCCUUCCAUAUUCUCUCUUUCAGCCCACCAGCGCAUUAGGUUUUCCAUUUCUUUUUUAGUUUUUAACUACCCACAAGCCCAUCUCCACGAAAGCUUCUGCACCCAUGCAAAAUCUCCUCUAAGUCAGCCGUCCUUUUCUGCUACCUACGCUUAAUCUUCCUCCAAUUCUGGUUUCUCGCUUUUGGAUGAGUUGAAAGAAGAAGGGUCGAAAGAAAAAAAAGAAGGCGGAGUCGAAAUAAGAGUUGGGAAGAAUAGUAAGGAGUGCAUGCUAACAAGUGGCAAUUUUUUUGCAUGCAAUCUCUCCUUCAUUAUUAUGCAUGCAAUCUCUCCUCCAUGUCUAACAAACGGCAGUUUUUCACUUCUAAUAUUUAUGUCUAGGCAGUGCUUUUUUCCAAGACUAAAAGAUGAGAGGCCUUGUUUAAAUUUUAGUAAUAAUUCUGUUUUCUUACCAUAUCCUUUUUAUCUCUGCAAAUUCUCUUUUUUUUUUUCUUUGAAUAUCUUAUAGGUUAAAAUACUAGUUUGAUUUUUGUACUUUGU
Molecule: non-coding RNA, 3375 nt
Organism: Momordica charantia (bitter melon)
Lineage: Eukaryota; Viridiplantae; Streptophyta; Magnoliopsida; Cucurbitales; Cucurbitaceae
Source: RefSeq, a predicted model, not a curated record